This 354-nucleotide ribosomal RNA is filed under the name uncultured Funneliformis. RNAcentral's name for it is "SSU rRNA". It matches the Rfam family "Eukaryotic small subunit ribosomal RNA", at positions 569 to 929 of the family's 1831-position model. The record is from RNAcentral. Lineage: Eukaryota; Fungi; Glomeromycota; Glomeromycetes; Glomerales; Glomeraceae.
AGCAGCCGCGGUAAUUCCAGCUCCAAUAGCGUAUAUUAAAGUUGUUGCAGUUAAAAAGCUCGUAGUUGAAUUUCGGGAUCAAUUGAUUGGUCAUGCCUUGGUAUGAACUGGUCAUAUUGGUUCUCACCUUCUAAUGAACCAUAAUGUCAUUCACUUGAUGUUAUGGGGAAUAGGACUGUUACCUUGAAAAAAUUAGAGUGUUUAAAGCAGGCUUACGCUUGAAUACAUUAGCAUGGAAUAAUGAAAUAGGACAUCGCAUUCUAUUUUGUUGGUUUCUAGGAUCGAUGUAAUGAUUAAUAGGGAUAGUUGGGGGCAUUAGUAUUCAAUUGUCAGAGGUGAAAUUCUUGGAUUUAU